UGGGGGAAUUUUUUGGCGCAAUGGGGGGCAACCCUGACGCAGCAACGCCGCGUGCGGGACGAAGGCCCUAGGGUUGUAAACCGCUUUCAGCAGGGAAGACACUGACGGUACCUGCAGAAGAAGCUCCGGCUAACUACGUGCCAGCAGCCGCGGUAAUACGUAGGGAGCGAGCGUUAUCCGGAUUCAUUGGGCGUAAAGCGCGCGUAGGCGGCUCGCCAAGCGGGAUGUCAAAGCCCGGGGCUCAACCCCGGCCCGCAUCCCGAACUGGUGGGCUUGAGUUCGGUAGGGGAAAGUGGAAUGCCCAGUGUAGCGGUGAAAUGCGCAGAUAG
RNAcentral lists this ribosomal RNA (329 nucleotides) under uncultured Coriobacteriaceae bacterium. RNAcentral describes it as "bacterial SSU rRNA". It matches the Rfam family "Bacterial small subunit ribosomal RNA", at positions 354 to 697 of the family's 1533-position model. Lineage: Bacteria; Bacillati; Actinomycetota; Coriobacteriia; Coriobacteriales; Coriobacteriaceae. The record is from RNAcentral.